RNAcentral lists this ribosomal RNA (468 nucleotides) under uncultured bacterium. RNAcentral describes it as "partial 16S ribosomal RNA". It matches the Rfam family "Bacterial small subunit ribosomal RNA", at positions 28 to 507 of the family's 1533-position model. The record is from RNAcentral.
GACGAACGCUGGCGGCGUGCUUAACACAUGCAAGUCGAACGGAAAGGCCCUGCUUUUGUGGGGUGCUCGAGUGGCGAACGGGUGAGUAACACGUGAGUAACCUGCCCUUGACUUUGGGAUAACUUCAGGAAACUGGGGCUAAUACCGGAUAGGAGCUCCUGCUGCAUGGUGGGGGUUGGAAAGUUUCGGCGGUUGGGGAUGGACUCGCGGCUUAUCAGCUUGUUGGUGGGGUAGUGGCUUACCAAGGCUUUGACGGGUAGCCGGCCUGAGAGGGUGACCGGCCACAUUGGGACUGAGGUACGGCCCAGACUCCUACGGGAGGCAGCAGUGGGGAGUAUUGCACAAUGGGCGGAAGCCUGAUGCAGCAACGCCGCGGGCGGGAUGACGGCCUUCGGGUUGUAAACCGCUUUCGCCUGUGACGAAGCGUGAGUGACGGUAAUGGGUAAAGAAGCACCGGCUAACUACGUG